This 253-nucleotide ribosomal RNA is filed under the name uncultured bacterium. RNAcentral's name for it is "partial 16S ribosomal RNA". It matches the Rfam family "Bacterial small subunit ribosomal RNA", at positions 524 to 776 of the family's 1533-position model. The record is from RNAcentral.
UACGGAGGGUGCAAGCGUUAUCCGGAUUCACUGGGUUUAAAGGGUGCGUAGGUGGGCAGGUAAGUCAGUGGUGAAAUCUCCGGGCUUAACUCGGAAACUGCCGUUGAUACUAUCUGUCUUGAAUAUCGUGGAGGUUAGCGGAAUAUGUCAUGUAGCGGUGAAAUGCUUAGAUAUGACAUAGAACACCAAUUGCGAAGGCAGCUCACUACACAAUCAUUGACUCUGAGGCACGAAAGCGUGGGGAUCAAACAGG